Molecule: ribosomal RNA, 299 nt
Filed under: uncultured bacterium
Lineage: Bacteria
Description: partial 16S ribosomal RNA
Rfam family: Bacterial small subunit ribosomal RNA
Source: RNAcentral
CUAUGCGCCUUGCCAGCCCGCUCAGGUGUGCCAGCCGCCGCGGUAAUACGUAGGUGGCGAGCGUUGUCCGGAUUUACUGGGCGUAAAGGGAGCGUAGGCGGACUUUUAAGUGAGAUGUGAAAUACUCGGGCUCAACUUGAGUGCUGCAUUUCAAACUGGAAGUCUAGAGUGCAGGAGAGGAGAAUGGAAUUCCUAGUGUAGCGGUGAAAUGCGUAGAGAUUAGGAAGAACACCAGUGGCGAAGGCGAUUCUCUGGACUGUAACUGACGCUGAGGCUCGAAAGCGUGGGGAGCAAACAGG